CAAAGGAUCAUAUAUAGAUCAUGUAAUAUGCUUUGAUGCAGAGUUAAAAAGAUAACUCAUAAAACACAAAGCAUAUGUGGUAGCUAGUUAUUAGAUGAACCUAAGCAUAUAUAUACUCUAGACCACCGUUUGUCAAUCACAGUGAAUUCGGAUUUGCAUAGCCUUGGAAUAAGAGAAGAUAGACAUCAUUUAUACAAACAAUACAUAUCAAACAGCAAUAAAAAUCUUGCAUAUCGUACGUUAUACCAACAAUUCAUAAGCUUUAGAUUUAAGAAAAAUUAUACAUGAACCAAUGUUCUCAAACUAACAUGCCUUACUGUCUACGUUACCCUUCUUGAAUCAAAAUGAUAAAUAUCUCAUGUAUACGUACCUAUGACCAGUUAUCAAAACACAUGGGUGAGUUACUAGUUAUAUAUAAUUUGAAAGGUUUCAUGCUAUGCCCCCUGAGAGAUGUCGGUCGAUCAUUAUCUGCUGAUUAUGAAGUCUUUGCUUGAUCUGAUGAGGGGAAUGCCCCCAAUCCCAUGGUACAUGCUCAGUUGCUCACUCGUUUGAGAAAAUAAGUUAUUGACUAGUAACCUACAUGAGUUCCGUUUUACACUUGCCAAGAUUCAUGGUUAGGGCCCAGAAACAUAUUCUUGUAAACAAAUUGAAACGAGUCAUAUAUGCAAUGCUAGAUUGUAGGUAAGAAAGAGUUUAAUCUCCCUUCGGGUUGUCUCAGGGUGAACAAGUUUUUGCAAGUGCAUCGGAGCCUCGUAGGGCUCGUCUUUAGACAUUUGUCGUUGUGUCAUUGUUGUCCCUCUUGGUGCCGACCGCUGACGUAGAAGCCACGGUGAUGGCGGCGUUAUCCCCGUUUGCGCUACAAUUGAUGUCCUCGCCCAGAUGCUUCAUUCCUGUAUAGCUUUCCUACACGUACAUCUUUGAACCAUGUCUCCUGCGACUAAAACCCUAGAAAUCAAAUCUUUGAGCAAUAUAUCUCCCGCAACUAAAACUUUUAAGCAAGUAUUCCAGAAGAUGAAUUAAUUAGAGAAGAGACUGAGAAUCUUUCUUAUCUAUGAUGAACUUCUGCCUUCCCUAGCGUCAAUGGCUGCGUCCAUGGCUCUUUACUAUAAUCUCACGGCUUUUGUUUUUCGUUUCCCACAGACGGCGCCAACUGUUGGUGCAAAAAAUUUUGGGAGAGAGAUUUCCCAACAUAAAUCUCACUCCUUUGAUAUUCGAGAAGCCUUGGACGCAUCCAUACGACAAUCUAUCAAAGGAAAGAGGUACCGUUGUUAUUACUCCUGAUUGUUCCUCCUUCUUCAUCCUCCUCUCUUCCUCCCCAUAAGCGUGUGAAUUUAUUGACCUUUUAUUUCUUGGUCCUCACUUCCCGUUGUAGUGGGAGUAGUGGGAGAAGCAUGUUCUCUAUGAACGAUCAUGUUUCAUGUUGUUUAUCAUGAUAGUGUUCAUUUUGGGUUUUGACCAUCGUUCUGGCCUAAUUCAUUAAAUGGGGGUCCAAGCCGAAAUUUUAUACCCCCACACCUAGUAAAAAGAAAACAUCCAUUACCACAUAUCCCAAAAAUGUAAUAACACAACUUCUUCUUGGUACGCAUCUUGAUUGUUUUGAAGGGUUCUAAAGCAUAGGCCAAAGGUAAUAACACAUAUCCCAAAAAUGUAAACACAACUCAUUAUAAUGCUGAUACCAGUUACAUUACAAAGCGGCUAUAUUUUCAUUAUAAUGCUAACACUAGUUACAUUACAAAGAUGACAACCUCUUGCUUAAAUAGCAUAAGAGUCUGAAUAAAAAUUAGAAAAAUACAUAAAUGGAAAACUAACAAAAUAAAUAUCAAAUCUAUCCAACUAAUAAUAAAGAUACUGCAAAAUCUAUGCAAUU
RNAcentral lists this long non-coding RNA (1867 nucleotides) under Fragaria vesca (wild strawberry). RNAcentral describes it as "long non-coding RNA (FVES_LNC000395)". Lineage: Eukaryota; Viridiplantae; Streptophyta; Magnoliopsida; Rosales; Rosaceae. The record is from RNAcentral.